AUGUCCUGGCUUUUUGCACUAAGGGCCCUGAAAGAUAUGAAGAAAACGCCAUCGAGUCCAGCUCCAUCGCCACCGCUUCUGCACACCUCAGUGCAGUCAAGCACAACGCCGCCGGGGACAACACCACUUGGGGCGAGGUGCCGGGAGCCAACUGCACUGAAGCAAAGGGGCCUCCACAAUGGCAUAGAAGCCAGAAGGUUGAUGUUCACCUGCAAACGCCGACCGAAGAGAACCGAUGCCAAAGAAGAGGGAGGGAACGGUCACCCUUCGACCAUCUUAGAUGGCAGCCAACAAAGAGCCUCCAUGAUUUCGCUCCCGGGAGCAGCUUCCAUACUCCCGCCUCCAGAUCCAGCACCAGCCGACGCACGAGCUACAGACAAGCGUCCUCCAGAUCACCAAGACCAGAUAACACAGUUUGUAGGACACGGGCACCAGCACCAGAUUCGCAGAAGAAGCCAGCCUUAUUGCAAACGAAGAGAUCCCCACCGCAAGGAGGAAGAGCACUGGGAUGCUACAGAUCUGGCCAGAGAGAUCUGUAGAUUCUCUCCCGGCACAGCGCCAACUACCAGCAUCAAGCCGAGACCUAAACCAAAGCCUACAACUAGUAUGUACAGAGAUGCCGGCGUCUCUCCUUUGCCAUCUUCGACCGGCUAUUCCGGCGAGAGAGGCUCGGGAUUAACCCGGAGUUCCAUGGGGGACACUCAAGGGAGGCGGAGAACGAGAAGAGAGGGGGGUCGUUAG
RNAcentral lists this ribosomal RNA (741 nucleotides) under Triticum aestivum (bread wheat). Its description in RNAcentral is "partial small subunit ribosomal RNA". Lineage: Eukaryota; Viridiplantae; Streptophyta; Magnoliopsida; Poales; Poaceae. The record is from RNAcentral.